ACACUGCUGACGAGUCCCAAACAGGACUAAACAGCUGUCUAAUGC
RNAcentral lists this non-coding RNA (45 nucleotides) under Echinostoma caproni. Lineage: Eukaryota; Metazoa; Platyhelminthes; Trematoda; Plagiorchiida; Echinostomatidae. The record is from RNAcentral.